RNAcentral lists this unclassified non-coding RNA (231 nucleotides) under uncultured fungus. RNAcentral describes it as "sequence contains ITS1". Lineage: Eukaryota; Fungi. The record is from RNAcentral.
GUAUUGUAUUGCGUUAAACGCUACAUGCAUUCCAUGAGACUUUGUUACAAUGUGUGUGUAAAGAUGCAGAACCAUGGCAGGAGGACAGGUCCCCCGACCAUAGAACUACAGAGUGUGCACAGGGUGUGAGUGGAUGUGUGAACAGAGUGUGCACAUGCCCCCGUUUGAGGACCAGCAACAACUCUUGUUGACAAUUCAGUAAUGAUCCUUCCGCAGGUUCACCUACGGAAA